RNAcentral lists this ribosomal RNA (200 nucleotides) under uncultured bacterium. RNAcentral's name for it is "partial 16S ribosomal RNA". It matches the Rfam family "Bacterial small subunit ribosomal RNA", at positions 29 to 254 of the family's 1533-position model. The record is from RNAcentral.
AACGAACGCUGGCGGCAGGCUUAACACAUGCAAGUCGAACGCGUGUAGCAAUACACGAGUGGCGCACGGGUGAGUAACGCGUGGAUAUCUGCCUUUAGGUUCGGAAUAACUCCGGGAAACUGGAGCUAAUACCGGAUGGUUCCUACGGGAUAAAGAUUUAUCGCCAAAAGAUGAGUCCGCGUACGAUUAGCUAGUUGGUG